Non-coding RNA from Lactuca sativa (garden lettuce), 681 nucleotides. Lineage: Eukaryota; Viridiplantae; Streptophyta; Magnoliopsida; Asterales; Asteraceae. The record is from RefSeq and is a predicted model, not a curated record.
AUCUUUAUUAACCCUACAAAUAAGAAGACCAAGAGAGUCGAAGCAACCAUCGUUGGAUUUCUCCCCUUCUUCCUCUAAACAUUUCCGACCUUAUAAUUGCUCUUCCUACUCUUUUUCUUUCAUUCCAUCUACAUGCACUAACCCUAUAUCAAUGAAUCUAUUUAUAUGUCAAUAGAGAAACACAACAAUUUCUAGUGUUUCAACCACACGUUUGAAACGAUUCAAUCUACCAUGGCCAAAAGUUUGAGCUUGAUUCAUUUUCCAAGAAUAAAGCCACAAUUUUGCAAGAAUAAAGCCAACGCCAAGGAUAGGGGUCAAUGUUGAUCACCAGAGGUUUAAUUGGAGUUAUGGGUGGUUUCGUCUACACCAAUAUCUGAUGGUUGACGUCUUCAUCCAAGAAGUUUCAAUAUGAGAAAUUAAAAAUCCUCAAUAUCUCAGUUAUAGCGUCAAAUCUUGGCAAUAAGAAUCUACUAAGAAGUAGACGAUUUCUUCCAUGACAUUCUAGUCUACUUCCAUCUUAAGUAAGUAAAUGAUCUUCUAUCUUUGUUAUAAUCCAUUCAUAUUGAAGAUAGUGGAGUGUAUGUGUGAAACACAUAGUAAUAUAGUUAAUCAUAUUUUUUUUAGUUAAUCGUGUUUUCUGUAAUAACCCAUUCAAUUAUUAAUAGAAUUUUAAUCGGAUAA